Molecule: RNA transcript, 2123 nt
Organism: Ctenopharyngodon idella (grass carp)
Lineage: Eukaryota; Metazoa; Chordata; Actinopteri; Cypriniformes; Xenocyprididae
Exons: 10
Source: RefSeq, a predicted model, not a curated record
GGACUGACAGAAAUGGAUGAUAAAAUGGCUAAGUGUCAUAUGUGUCUGCUGGGACUGAUAAUUCUCUGUCCAUUUUUCAAAGCUAUUCGCGUUGUGAUCUCUGUUGCGUAGUGUCAGUACAUACUGUAUUCUUUCUGAAUGCACUAAUACUGAACACAGUGGCACACAUAGAAACAAGGUACCAGUGGAAAGGAUGAGACUCAUGUGUUCUGCAGUUCUGCUGAAAAUGUCCGUCUGCCCUGUAAUAAUGCUCUUUCUAACUGCACAUCAACUACAUGGAGCUAUAAUAAAUACAAAGAUUCACAGACCAAUGAACUGAUUGCGGAGGGGAAAACAAAGCAACAAAUAGAGAGACUGAGUCUGGAGUCUGACUGCUCUCUGAACAUCAAGAAAGUCACAAAAGAAGAUUAUGGCCUUUACACCUGCCGACAAUAUGUGAAGGGACAACAAGGAACUGAUACAUUUGUUUAUCUGCAUGUUCUUCAUGUCUCUUCAUCAUCCUCACAGACUGACAUCAGACCAGGCAGCUCUGUGACUCUCUCCUGUCGGUUGUAUUCAUAUAAUGAUUUCCAUUGUGAUACUUUGGUCCAUACUGAGGGAAUUCAGCUGAUCUGGGUGAAUCAGGCUGGUGUUAGUGUGAUGACAGACUCCAGAAAUCAGAUAUCAUUCUCCUCAACACACUGUAAGAGCACUCUGACUACAACACUCCUGAAUGAAGAUCUCAACAGUUAUUUCAGAUGUCAGAUUAGGAAAAAUGAACUGAAGACCUCAGCCACAACAAGUAACAAGUAUUCAUCUCAAACUGAUACAACACCAGUGAUUCCAGUUCACACCACAAACUCUGAGGAGCUCUCGACUAGAACCACAUCAGAAUUUCAUGUACAAGUAGUGAUUUCUGCUGUGGCUGCUGCAUUAGCUGUUGUCCUUGUUGCUGUUUUCUGGGUAAUCUAUAAAAAAAGAGCUGAUAAUAAAAGAGGGACUGACAGCUCCGUGGUCAAAGAUGUGAAUGAACAUAAAGGGACCUAUGAAACAAUCAACAUGUCCAUUCCUUCUAUGCCAAACGCCAAUGAACAGACAGAUGAUGUGACCUAUUCUGAGGUUACUUCUUCCAGUAAAAAACAAGUACAAAAAGAUAAUGAUCAUUCUAAUGACACAGUGACUUACUCUACCAUCAGAGGAGCAGAAUAUACAGCCUUAGGAUGGACUUUACGCCUCUGUGAAAAAGUAGAAAAAAUACCCCUUCAUAUUAUGAGCAGAAAAGGAGUUUUCCCAAACUACUGAGAGAAUUUGGGAGAAUUAUGUAUUUGUAUGUGAAGUAACAGAACUUUUAUAUUAAUUUAUAUUAUUAAUAUUUGUUAAAUGUAUUGUGAAAGGGUACAAAGACAGAAUUCAAAGGCAAUACUGUAAAAAUGUUUCCCAAAUUUUUAACCACAUGUAGUAGAGGGGAAAAACAUUCAGAUUUAUUCUGAAUCUGUAGUCUGGGUCAGUAAUGUUAGCUUAUUUGAUUUGAUUAAAUCUUCAUAGAGAUUAAACAAAUCACCUCCAUCAACUGGAGAGAAGGUUUAUCAGUUGGAUUUCUGUCUUAAAACAUGUAAUAUUCCUGGAGAAGAACAUGGUAAAGAUGGUACUCUUGCUUUUAGCAUGUAUAUAGACUGUUCUUAUACAAAAAAUAUACCAGGUAGACAGUGUGAGCAUUACUUAAGCUUCUAUUCAAAUGAUAUUUUACUAAAAUAUUCUAAAAUGUGACAUUGCAGUGUGCAUAUGAAUUUUCAGGGGUUUUUCAAACGUACCGUGAGCAUAAAAAUGUCAAAAGUUAAAACAAAAGGUUUUGUGUCUUUGAGUAAAAGCAUUUUAAAUGAAUGCUGUUAUAUUUUUUCCAGAAAAUAUUUAAAACAUCUGUAUAAAAACAAAUCUGUUAUCAUCAGAAUUAAACUAAUAUAAAUAUUUAUCUCAGAAAUGUCAGAUGUACUCUGGUAGUUUCUUGUGUCAAGUAACUAAAAGUGUGUGGUUAUUAAACCAUUAAACCUUAUUAAACCAUUUUUAUUUUCGCUUUACUUUGUUAAACUUUUACUUUGGGUUGUUUUACAAUUAUCUUUAAUUUCUUGGUUGCAACUUAUCUGUUC